GGGAACCUAUUGUCCCGGAGAGUACCCAAGUCCUCCCCCAGAAUAUGAAACCUGCUUGGGAGACUUGUAUAGUGUCGCUUGGAUGGAGGACAGGUUGGUAUUCAAGCAUGAUCAUCAUAUAAGUCUUUUUCAUUUAUAUUUGGGAAUAUUGGUUCUGCGAUUAUUUUGAAAUUGAAGCUGAUUGUCUAGACCUGUUUUAACGAGAUUUUGGGAAGUUGUAUAUAAGUUAAAUUCAGUUUAUUUCCUGGCUGCACCUUGUUGAAUUUUGGAGUUAGUAGACAAAUUACAAAAUCAGAGGCAAAAUGGGUGUUAUACAUGUAAAAUUCAUUCUUUUAGUAUGAUCUAGACUAAAAUAGGAUAGGAGAUCUUUUAAAACUGAGGAAUCAGUUUUCCCUUUAAAAAAAAAAAGAAUUACAUACGUUGGUGUGAAUCCUAACAUUCUGUUUCUGUUGAGCAGUGACAUGCAUAAUCUGCGGACAGAGACUUUGCACCAGCAAUAUGAACUUGUAAGGCUUUUAAGAGAGUGUAUUUGCGUGAACUCUUUCAUUUAUUUUAUCAAGGGAAAGACGAAAAUUUCAAUAUCAUUUUGUAUUAUAGUUAUUGAUUACUAUUUAGAUCUAAGAAAUAUAAAAAAUAUAACCAGAAAUGGGAGGUCUGAGUUAUUUUGCCGUCAAAUUUGAGCUCCAAUGACUCAUUUUGCUGGCUUUUGCAGGUGAAAAAGAGGACUAUCAAUGGUAAUUCUGCGUAUGGCUCUCAUGUCAUGCAAUAUGGUGAUGUAGGGCUUAGCAAGGACAGUCUCUUUGCAUACUUGGGUACAAACCCUGCAAAUGAUAACUUCACCUUUGUUGACGAGAACUCCUUGUUGCCACCUACAAAAGCUGUUAACCAGCGUGAUGCUGAUCUUGUCCAUUUUUGGUAUAAGGUUUGUGUCUUAUGUCCUUUGACUUGUAUAUUAAACACAAGAAUUGCUUCUUCCCUAACUUAGAAUCUGUAAUUCGGAGUUGAUGCAACUAAGUGAAGAAUAUGACAACUUAGAUCAGUAAUACAUGGGUAUUACCAAAGGCGAAGUCAGAAUUUUCAUGUUAGGGGGUUGAUAUAAAAUAAUAAAUUUUGGGGGCACAAAGUUAAAAAAAUUGUGUUAAAAGGGCUUAAAUUGAAUCAUUAGUAUUGAUUAAGGGCCAAAAUAUAACUUUUCCAUUUUAACAAAGGUGGGAUCAAGGCCCUGCGUGCUCCCUUUGGAUCCACCCCUGGUUAUUAUAAACCUUAUGGUGUUAAUAACUGCAAGAUGGAUGCUACUCUAUAAAGCAUAUAAGCGGCUAAUGUGUUUUUAAUGGAGCAUAACUAGGCCUGAUGCUGUGGCAGAAUUUGAAAGGAACCCAUACUGUGAAAUUUUGCAUCUCUUUCUUUAAAAUGCUUUCAUUCAGAAUGAAUGUAAAACAUGAACAGUUGUUUCGUGUAUUUGAAAGCAGCCUCUAUGCUAGUUUUAGAUCCCAUCUAACUCGGAGAUUCCCCUGACCUACUUUGCAGUAUCGCAAGGCACCCGAAGGCUCUGUUAGGAAGACUGAAGCCCAAAAGCAGUUUGUUGAAGCCAUGUCUCAUAGAAUGCAUAUAGACCACAGUGUGAAACUCAUUGGCAAACUUUUAUUUGGAAUUGAAAGAGGCUUGGAAGUCCUGAACACCGUUCGACCAGCUGGCCAACCUCUUGUCGAUGACUGGAAAUGCCUCAAGAAAAUGGUAAACAUUCUUCACCCUCACCCUCAACCUCUUUCCUUUCUUUUGUCUUACUCCUUUCUUUUGUCUUCAAAACAGGUGAGGACUUUCGAAACACAUUGUGGAUCACUAGCCCAGUACGGGAUGAAACACAUGCGAUCCCUUGCAAACAUCUGCAAUGCCGGGAUUCAGACAGAACAGAUGGCUGAGGCAUCGGCACAAGCUUGUGUCAGCGUUCCUACUGGUCGUUGGAGCUCUCUUCAGAAAGGUUUUAGUGCAUAAAAAUACCACUGGAAUUGG
This 2010-nucleotide long non-coding RNA is filed under the name Gossypium barbadense (sea-island cotton). RNAcentral's name for it is "long non-coding RNA (GBAR_LNC017041)". Lineage: Eukaryota; Viridiplantae; Streptophyta; Magnoliopsida; Malvales; Malvaceae. The record is from RNAcentral.